This 350-nucleotide unclassified non-coding RNA is filed under the name soil metagenome. Its description in RNAcentral is "partial contains 5.8S ribosomal RNA, internal transcribed spacer 2, and large subunit ribosomal RNA". The stretch from base 1 to 120 matches the Rfam family "5.8S ribosomal RNA", at positions 35 to 154 of the family's 154-position model. The record is from RNAcentral.
GAUGAAGAACGUAGCGAACUGCGAUAAGUAAUGUGAAUUGCAGUAUUCAGUGAAUCAUCGAGUCUUUGAACGCACAUUGCGCCCCCUGGCAUUCCGGGGGGCAUGCCUGUCCGAGCGUCAUUGCUGCCCUUCAAGCCCGGCUUGUGUGUUGGGUCGUCGUCCCCCCCGGGGGACGGGCCCGAAAGGCAGCGGCGGCACCGCGUCCGGUCCUCGAGCGUAUGGGGCUUUGUCACCCGCUCGAUUAGGGCCGGCCGGGCGCCAGCCGGCGUCUCCAACCUUCUAUUUUACCAGGUUGACCUCGGAUCAGGUAGGGAUACCCGCUGAACUUAAGCAUAUCAAUAAGCGGAGGA